UACGUAGGGGGCAAGCGUUGUCCGGAUUUAUUGGGCGUAAAGAGCGUGUAGGCGGCUUUGCAAGUCCGUUGUGAAAACUCGAGGCUCAACCUCGAGACGCCGGUGGAAACUGCAAAGCUAGAGUCCGGAAGAGGAGAGUGGAAUUCCUAGUGUAGCGGUGAAAUGCGCAGAUAUCAGGAAGAACACCCGUGGCGAAGGCGGCUCUCUGGGACGGUACUGACGCUGAGACGCGAAAGCGUGGGGAGCGAACAGG
This 253-nucleotide ribosomal RNA is filed under the name uncultured bacterium. Its description in RNAcentral is "partial 16S ribosomal RNA". It matches the Rfam family "Bacterial small subunit ribosomal RNA", at positions 524 to 776 of the family's 1533-position model. The record is from RNAcentral.